CGUACUUUGGAGGUACGUUGGAACAGAAAAUGGCGUGUUCCAAGUUUAUCCCGGAACGAUGUUAUCCGACGUUUAUGAUCCUCGUCUGGACACGUGGUACAAAGAGGCUAUCGGACACAAAAAUGCAACAGUGUUUCUCCCACAAAGUAACACUACCAUUACACUUGCUCGAGCUUUCUUCAGGGACAGAGGGCGUGUCGCUGGUGUGUUGGCUGCGGACGUCGAUACCAGGCAAAUGGACGCAGUGUUCACCAACAUUCUACAGCCCUGUAUCAGGGAGAACAAGCACUGUUUUAUUAUAAAUGA
Pecten maximus is the source of this 306-nucleotide long non-coding RNA. RefSeq lists it as uncharacterized. The transcript is spliced from 3 exons. The record is from RefSeq and is a predicted model, not a curated record. Lineage: Eukaryota; Metazoa; Mollusca; Bivalvia; Pectinida; Pectinidae.